Molecule: unclassified non-coding RNA, 207 nt
Filed under: Ganoderma lucidum
Lineage: Eukaryota; Fungi; Basidiomycota; Agaricomycetes; Polyporales; Polyporaceae
Description: ITS1
Source: RNAcentral
AAGGAUCAUUAUCGAGUUUUGACCGGGUUGUAGCUGGCCUUCCGAGGCAUGUGCACGCCCUGCUCAUCCACUCUACACCUGUGCACUUACUGUGGGCUUCAGAUUGCGAGGCACGCUCUUUACCGGGCUUGCGGAGCAUAUCUGUGCCUGGGUUUAUCACAAACUCUAUAAAGUAACAGAAUGUGUAUUGCGAUGUAACACAUCUAU